GACGAACGCUGGCGGCGUGCUUAACACAUGCAAGUCGAACGGAAAGGCCCUGCUUUUGUGGGGUGCUCGAGUGGCGAACGGGUGAGUAACACGUGAGUAACCUGCCCUUGACUUUGGGAUAACUUCAGGAAACUGGGGCUAAUACCGGAUAGGAGCUCCUGCUGCAUGGUGGGGGUGGGAAAGUUUCGGCGGUUGGGGAUGGACUCGCGGCUUAUCAGCUUGUUGGUGGGGUAGUGGCUUACCAAGGCUUUGACGGGUAGCCGGCCUGAGAGGGUGACCGGCCACAUUGGGACUGAGAUACGGCCCAGACUCCUACGGGAGGCAGCAGUGGGGAAUAUUGCACAAUGGGCGGCAGCCUGAUGCAGCAACGCCGCGUGCGGGAUGACGGCCUUCGGGUUAUAAACCGCUUUCGCCUGUGACGAAGCGUGAGUGACGGUAAUGGGUAAAGAAGCACCGGCUAACUACGUG
This 468-nucleotide ribosomal RNA is filed under the name uncultured bacterium. RNAcentral describes it as "partial 16S ribosomal RNA". It matches the Rfam family "Bacterial small subunit ribosomal RNA", at positions 28 to 507 of the family's 1533-position model. The record is from RNAcentral.